This 489-nucleotide ribosomal RNA is filed under the name uncultured Gemmatimonadota bacterium. Its description in RNAcentral is "bacterial SSU rRNA". It matches the Rfam family "Bacterial small subunit ribosomal RNA", at positions 224 to 704 of the family's 1533-position model. The record is from RNAcentral. Lineage: Bacteria; Pseudomonadati; Gemmatimonadota.
GAGAGGCUCGCGGCCUAUCAGCUAGUUGGCGGGGUCACGGCCCACCAAGGCGACGACGGGUAGCUGGUCUGAGAGGAUGGCCAGCCACAUUGGGACUGAGACACGGCCCAGACUCCUACGGGAGGCAGCAGUGGGGAAUAUUGCGCAAUGGCCGCAAGGCUGACGCAGCGACGCCGCGUGUGGGAUGACGGCCUUCGGGUUGUAAACCACUGUCGGGGGGGACGAAUACGGGGCCUCGAAUAGGGGACCCUGGGUGACGGUACCUCCAAAGGAAGCACCGGCUAACUCCGUGCCAGCAGCCGCGGUAAUACGGAGGGUGCGAGCGUUGUCCGGAAUCACUGGGCGUAAAGGGCGCGUAGGCGGCCCAUUAAGUUGCCGGUGAAAUCCCGCGGCUCAACUGCGGGGCUGCCGGUAAGACUGGCGGGCUCGAGCACGGUAGAGGCAGAUGGAAUUCCCGGUGUAGCGGUGGAAUGCGUAGAGAUCGGGAAG